GUAAAUUCCUUGAUGGGAAUAGUAUGUAUAAGUUCUGUCCCUCAGAGAGCCGGCAUCCGCUGAAAGCCGGUGUUCAGACUUAGCAGAAGAUCAUCCCGGAGAAGCGAAGCUUAAAGCGUCAUAGAACGUGAGUAAGCUGAGCCGUCAGCCGAACGUUAUAUCGGACCAUGUCUGUAGUAAUGGACUUGGACUUUAAGGUGCUGCUGAACUUGCUCCUGCUUUAUGAUAAGGAGAUCAGCAGAAUUAGGGUGGUAUCGCGAGAACAGGUUCUCGUCCCUUUC
RNAcentral lists this non-coding RNA (281 nucleotides) under Paenibacillus sp. Its description in RNAcentral is "T-box sequence". It matches the Rfam family "T-box leader". Rfam says of the family: Uncharged tRNA acts as the effector for transcription antitermination of genes in the T-box leader family. T-boxes are found upstream of many aminoacyl-tRNA synthetase genes and some amino acid biosynthetic genes usually in Gram-positive bacteria. Lineage: Bacteria; Bacillati; Bacillota; Bacilli; Caryophanales; Paenibacillaceae. The record is from RNAcentral.